This 503-nucleotide ribosomal RNA is filed under the name uncultured bacterium. Its description in RNAcentral is "partial 16S ribosomal RNA". It matches the Rfam family "Bacterial small subunit ribosomal RNA", at positions 30 to 523 of the family's 1533-position model. The record is from RNAcentral.
AUUGAACGCUGGCGGCAGGCCUAACACAUGCAAGUCGAGCGGGGUGAUGGUGCUUGCACUAUCACUUAGCGGCGGACGGGUGAGUAAUGCUUAGGAAUCUGCCUAUUAGUGGGGGACAACAUCUCGAAAGGGAUGCUAAUACCGCAUACGUCCUACGGGAGAAAGCAGGGGAUCACUUGUGACCUUGCGCUAAUAGAUGAGCCUAAGUCGGAUUAGCUAGUUGGUGGGGUAAAGGCCUACCAAGGCGACGAUCUGUAGCGGGUCUGAGAGGAUGAUCCGCCACACUGGGACAGAGACACGGCCCAGACUCCUACGGGAGGCAGCAGUGGGGAAUAUUGGACAAUGGGGGGAACCCUGAUCCAGCCAUGCCGCGUGUGUGAAGAAGGCCUUAUGGUUGUAAAGCACUUUAAGCGAGGAGGAGGCUCUUUUGGUUAAUACCCAAGAUGAGUGGACGUUACUCGCAGAAUAAGCACCGGCUAACUCUGUGCCAGCCGCCGCGGUAA